This is a long non-coding RNA of Homo sapiens (human), 1159 nucleotides long. The record is from Ensembl. NCBI's taxonomy places the organism in Eukaryota, Metazoa, Chordata, Mammalia, Primates, Hominidae.
GGCUGGCGGUGGCACUGCCCACCUGCGCUGCGCCCAGUGCGCCCCCGUGCGCUGGGCAUACCCCAGACCAGGGAGCGCUCAGGGCCCGCCGGGGACGCCGAGACCUAGCAGGGUAACUCGGAGGUGGGAGUGGGGGUCCAGCUCGGGGACCAGGGCAAAGGAGGGACUAGACCGGAAGACGGUCUCACUCCGGGAGACCUAGCGGGGGUGUCCCGCCAAAGGGGUGUCUAGCCGGGGAGGGUCUAGCGCGGGAGCGGGUUUCCCGACUGCUUCCCGCACUCACCUCGACCCCCGCGCUGGUUCGGCCUCUCCAGGCUGGAAAACUCACCGCGGCGGCGGCGGCUGCGGCGGCGGCUCCCCUGGGCUGGGCGGGGCCGGGGGCGGGGAGGCCGGGCCGGCCACGUGGGCGGGAGGCGGGCCGGGGACCCCCGCGGGCGCCGGAGCCGGGCGACGCAGGACUUGGACGUGGCCACGCCCGGCCACCGCUCGACACCCCAGCUCCCCAUGCACGGCCUAGGUCUACAGGGAGGCUAGAAAGAGGAGAGCGGAGGCCCCAGGACAUCCCUCCCCCGCCGCCACCUAAAUCAGACUCAGGCGGAGAGAAUUGACCGAGUCGGAGGAGGGGUAAACAGCCCUGCCCCUCGCUCCCACUGUCCCGCCAGAGAACGCGCCGCGGAAACCCCGAGGGCGGGUCAAGGGCCAGGUACCCGAGUGGGAGUGGACUCUCGUGCCGGGGUGGUAGGGGCUACCCUAGCGGUCCAGGGCCAGAGCCUGCACGCGGCGCCCCCACCCCCACCGCUGGGCUGAUCUUGGGUGUGUCAGAUCUUGCCCAAGCCUCACUUUCCUCCACGGUGGAGGUGAGAAUGAGGACGAGCCUGGAGCUGCGUGAACCCCGGCGCCCAGCAAGCUCUCAGGAAUCGCCGGCCUGUAGGUGGACGCAGAGCCUGAAAGUGAGGGGCCUGGGUCGUGCAUACGGAAAUAAAUAUGGGACUCUAAAUAAAGCGAGUUUCUGCAGGCAUUCAUUCAUUCAACAGAUGAACGCCUACGGUCUUCACCACCUCUUAAAAUCAGAAAUAAAGAAUGCCCCAGACUGUAGUUACUGGGCUCAAGAAAGUGUAAACUCUGAUGCUAAAAAUAAAAAAUUCAUCGGUUCCCCCCA